UUGUUUCUGCUUUCCAAAUUCCAAGUUCCAAGUUUCAACAUAAUUUAAUAUAUACGCCACCAAUGGCGCUGGUUACUACCAGAGUUUGCACUCUUGUUUUCAUUGUUUUAUGAUAGUUGGCGUAAUCAACACAACAACGCCAAAGGUUGAAGCUGUGACGCUGAAGUGGUUUUUAUCAGUCAUGAACGCUAUGCAAGACCACUCAAGUUAAUACGACUAACGAUACGAACAAAUACAAUUCUGUAGCCAACUCUAAGCCCACGACAUAUUAAGCAGCGUCUUACCCGACAGUGACAUUACUUAUGUCAUCUACAUUUCAGGAAACGAACUCGUAUGCAGUUUUUUUGUGUGUACAUCGUUUUCUGCAGCUAAAUUUUACUAGAGAUGAGACAAAAAGGCAGUAUCAAUUAAAUGCUAAGACGCGAUCCAACAGAAGUCUUUGAUAACACGAGCAGGUCGCAUACAUUCUCGAACGAGCUAUUAAAGAAUGGAUAAGUGACCGCAACGACCCUUGAUCCUGCCACGGCCCUAAAAAACUACUCGCAAAACUAAGAACAAUAAAAUUUAAAGAGAUCCGAAAAAAAAUUCCGGACGAAUCUAUAAAGCAAAAAUAUCUAAUCGUCCCCUUCAGCACCCAAGGCAACGUUUAAUUCUAGUAUAGACCGAUGCUCGUGUAGGAUUCUGCUUCCCUUCCUACGAAUUACAACCAGUUUUCAAAGGAAAGAACCGGUACACAUUUACAUAUUCAGCACUCAAGCAGAUACAACAGAUGGUGAACAAAAUCAUGGAGACCAAACAAAGGAUAAUUUAUGUCUGCAAAGUCGCUGAAUUUCUUGCUGCGCUAGACAGUGCCAUUUGUUUGGUCGGAAAUGACGGAUGGGUCAGGUCUAGAGCCAAGAAAAAAGGAAAAAAAAGCGGGAUUACAAUAAUAAUAAAAAAAAAAAAAAAAGGAAGACUCUUACAGUUGCUCCUUAGGAGAUGAAUUUGGGUUCUGUCGAUGCUACUAAUGGUAGGUUUUCAGCAGAACCUGAAAAAAAAAAAACGAAAAAUUCUGGGUUAUGCAUUCAGGUAUGUAAAAUAUGAUAUUUAAAAAAACCUGCACUUGGGGAAUCAGAUACUUCCAUAGGAGUUGUACCAGCCGGGUUAUCAAAAUCUGCUUUAGAAAAAUUCGCCCAACUCUGUUCUUCUUCUUCGCCUGCGCUACAAGUUGGGACACUUUCCCAAGGAUUUCCGGCAUCUGCUGCCACUGGGAUACCUGAAUCACCAUCUGACGCCCAGGCUAAAAAUUAUGACCAGCAAGCUUUAUUCUAUAUAAAACUAAAAGCGUAAAAACAGACUUACGAUCCAAACUAUCAAUGUCCAUCGAGUCGUUCGCAACGUCAGCAAUCGUAUUUUCUUCAUCAGAAACAAAUUCUGGUCGGACAGUGGAUGCGUUCUCACUGAUUAAACACAACGACUUUGUUUUUUCAAAGGUCAAAAUAUAACUACAACGUUUUGAUGAUUUACCUCGAUCGUCUUCGGCUCUGUAGCCAAGUUUCGUUGUCUUCAGCAUCAUCAUCACCAUCAAGUGUUUUCGGUCGCGUAUGCAUCCGUUCAUUGCAAACCUGCUCGAAGAGCUCUGACUGCUGCGUGAGCUCAUCUCCAUCUUGUGGCAAGGCUAUAUUCGCCAGGGUUUCAGGCUGUGGCCUUCAUAAUUUAAAUACAAAUUGUACUUCAAUGUCACUUUAAUCGAUUAUAACAAUUGGCUGACCUCAACUGAUCCUCGCUAUCAUUAAACUGCGAAUCGGCAAAACCAAAUUGCGUUACAAUGGGUUUAGUCAUGACUUCCAUCUGGUAUUCAGCGAACACCUAAAGAUUGUAGUCGAUAAUUUGCUAACGAAAGGUUUUAAGGUUCUAACCUCCUGCGCAGCCGUAUCCUUCGGCACACGAAUUAAAUCCGAUUCCUCUUCAUCGGAACUAACACGAGGCGCUACCAUAUGAGACUGAAAAGGGAGGAGAGGAGAGGAGAGGAGAGGAGAG
RNAcentral lists this long non-coding RNA (2019 nucleotides) under Daphnia magna. RNAcentral describes it as "uncharacterized LOC116924232". The record is from RNAcentral. Lineage: Eukaryota; Metazoa; Arthropoda; Branchiopoda; Diplostraca; Daphniidae.